This 297-nucleotide ribosomal RNA is filed under the name uncultured bacterium. Its description in RNAcentral is "partial 16S ribosomal RNA". It matches the Rfam family "Bacterial small subunit ribosomal RNA", at positions 28 to 327 of the family's 1533-position model. The record is from RNAcentral.
GAUCAACGCUGGCGGCGUGCCUAAUGCAUGCAAGUCGAACGGAGCCGCCUUCGGGCGGUCACGUGGCGGACGGGUGAGGAACACGCGGGCGAUCUGCCCCGGGGCGGGGAUAGCCGACCAGAAAGUAGGUGGGUAAUACCGCAUGAGCUCGGCGACUUACGGGUCACCGAGGAAAGGCGCAAGCCACCCUGGGAGGAGCCUGCGGCGGAUUAGCUUGUUGGCGGGGUAACGGCUCACCAAGGCAAUGAUCCGUAGCUGGUCUGAGAGGACGGCCAGCCACAGGGGGAACUGAGACAC